ACCUGUAGCUUAAUUGGAUAGAGCGUCUGACUACGGAUCAGAAGGUUGGGGGUUCGAGUCCUCCCAGGUU
Molecule: transfer RNA, 70 nt
Filed under: marine eukaryotic metagenome
Rfam family: tRNA
About the family: Transfer RNA (tRNA) molecules are approximately 80 nucleotides in length. Their secondary structure includes four short double-helical elements and three loops (D, anti-codon, and T loops). Further hydrogen bonds mediate the characteristic L-shaped molecular structure. tRNAs have two regions of fundamental functional importance: the anti-codon, which is responsible for specific mRNA codon recognition, and the 3' end, to which the tRNAs corresponding amino acid is attached (by aminoacyl-tRNA synthetases). tRNAs cope with the degeneracy of the genetic code in two manners: having more than one tRNA (with a specific anti-codon) for a particular amino acid; and 'wobble' base-pairing, i.e. permitting non-standard base-pairing at the 3rd anti-codon position.
Source: RNAcentral